Molecule: long non-coding RNA, 626 nt
Organism: Homo sapiens (human)
Lineage: Eukaryota; Metazoa; Chordata; Mammalia; Primates; Hominidae
Product: long intergenic non-protein coding RNA 2429
Source: Ensembl
ACAUCUGCUCUGUCAAACUAAGCGUAAGUGGUUCACAGUCUGUACCACAGCUAAAUUUAAAGUAUCAGGGUACUAUUGGCCUCAUAGAAAGAUUUUGGAAGUAUUUUCUCCUGCAUUUUUCAGAAAAGUUAACCUGAUUAGGGGCUGGGCACAGUGGCUCAUGCCUGUAAUCACAACACUUUGGGAGGCCGAGGUGGGCAGACCACUUGAGGUCAGGAGUUCAAGAACAGCCUGGCCAACAAGAGCUGAGAACCCACUCUAUCAACAUUAAACAGCGGCAGUUCCUGUAAGUUUUUAAGGGUUAUUGGAAGAUGACUUUACUUGUCUUCAUACAGUUUCACCUAAAUUAUGUUGGUGCUGUUGCUUUAGGACCUUCAGACCUGGAUGGGGACGUAUGAUAAGGAUCCUGGUUCUCAGGCCUUCUGGUCUGCACUGUAGCUAUACCUCCAGCUUUCCUGUGCUGUCAGUUUGGAGACAGCAGGUCAUGAGACUUCACUGCAUUCAUAAUUAUGUGAGCCAGUUUGUCAUGGUAAAUAUGUAUGUAUGCAUGUAUGUAUCCAUCCAUCCAUCCUGUUGAUUCUGUUUCUCUGGAGAACGCUGAUUAAAACACCUCUCUGCCUUCAGAA